CUACGGGGGGCAGCAGUGAGGAAUAUUGCACAAUGGGGGGAACCCUGAUGCAGCAACGCCGCGUGGAGGAUGACGCAUUUCGGUGUGUAAACUCCUUUUAUAUGUCAAGGAAAUGACGGUAGCAUAUGAAUAAGCACCGGCUAACUCCGUGCCAGCAGCCGCGGUAAUAAGGAGGGUGCAAGCGUUACUCGGAAUCACUGGGCGUAAAGGACGCGUAGGCGGGUUGGAAAGUCAGGUGUGAAAUCCUACAGCUUAACUGUAGAACUGCACUUGAAACUUCUAAUCUAGAGUAUGGGAGGGGGAGAUGGAAUUAGUGGUGUAGGGGUAAAAUCCGUAGAUAUCACUAGGAAUACCUAAAGCGAAGGCGAUCUCCUGGAACAUUACUGACGCUAAGGCGUGAAAGCGUGGGGAGCAAACAGGAUUAGAUACCCGAGUAGUC
This 439-nucleotide ribosomal RNA is filed under the name uncultured bacterium. RNAcentral's name for it is "partial 16S ribosomal RNA". It matches the Rfam family "Bacterial small subunit ribosomal RNA", at positions 339 to 795 of the family's 1533-position model. The record is from RNAcentral.